This 253-nucleotide non-coding RNA is filed under the name uncultured bacterium. Its description in RNAcentral is "partial 16S ribosomal RNA". It matches the Rfam family "Bacterial small subunit ribosomal RNA", at positions 524 to 776 of the family's 1533-position model. The record is from RNAcentral. RNAcentral also lists the same sequence under 1 other name.
UACGGAGGGUGCAAGCGUUAUCCGGAUUCACUGGGUUUAAAGGGUGCGUAGGAGGGCAGGUAAGUCAGUGGUGAAAUCCCCGAGCUUAACUUGGGAACUGCCGUUGAUACUAUCUGUCUUGAAUAUUGUGGAGGUGAGCGGAAUAUGUCAUGUAGCGGUGAAAUGCUUAGAUAUGACAUAGAACACCAAUUGCGAAGGCAGCUCGCUACACAUAUAUUGACUCUGAGGCACGAAAGCGUGGGGAUCAAACAGG